RNAcentral lists this ribosomal RNA (251 nucleotides) under uncultured bacterium. Its description in RNAcentral is "partial 16S ribosomal RNA". It matches the Rfam family "Bacterial small subunit ribosomal RNA", at positions 524 to 776 of the family's 1533-position model. The record is from RNAcentral.
GACGUAGGGCGCGAGCGUUGUCCGGAUUUAUUGGGCGUAAAGAGCUCGUAGGCGGCUUGUCGCGUCGAAUGUGAAAACUCGGGGCUCAACCCCGAGCUUGCAUUCGAUACGGGCAGGCUAGAGUUCGGUAGGGAGGACUGGAAUUCCUGGUGUAGCGGUGAAAUGCGCAGAUAUCAGGAGGAACACCGGUGGCGAAGGCGGGUCUCUGGGCCGAUACUGACGCUGAGGAGCGAAGCAUGGGAGCGAACAGG